Molecule: ribosomal RNA, 648 nt
Filed under: uncultured bacterium
Lineage: Bacteria
Description: bacterial SSU rRNA
Rfam family: Bacterial small subunit ribosomal RNA
Source: RNAcentral
AGAGUUUGAUCAUGGCUCAGAUUGAACGCUGGCGGCAUGCUUUACACAUGCAAGUCGAGCGGCAGCGCGGGGGCAACUCUGGCGGCGAGCGGCGAACGGGUGAGUAAUGCAUCGGAACGUGUCCCGGAGUGGGGGAUAACCCGGCGAAAGCCGGACUAAUACCGCAUAUGCUCUGAGGAGGAAAGUGGGGGACCUGAGAGGGCCUCAUGCUUUGGGAGCGGCCGAUGUCCGAUUAGCUAGUUGGUGGGGUAAAGGCUUACCAAGGCGACGAUCGGUAGCUGGUCUGAGAGGAUGAUCAGCCACACUGGGACUGAGACACGGCCCAGACUCCUACGGGAGGCAGCAGUGGGGAAUUUUGGACAAUGGGGGCAACCCUGAUCCAGCCAUGCCGCGUGCGGGAAGAAGGCCUUUGGGUUGUAAACCGCUUUUAGCUGGGAAGAAAAGACUCGGGCUAACACUCCGGGUUCUUGACGGUACCGGCGGAAUAAGCACCGGCUAACUACGUGCCAGCAGCCGCGGUAAUACGUAGGGUGCGAGCGUUAAUCGGAAUUACUGGGCGUAAAGCGUGCGCAGGCGGUUCGUUAAGUUUGUCGUGAAAGCCCCGGGCUCAACCUGGGAAUGGCGAUGAAAACUGGCGAGCUGGAGUGU